CCGCCGGACCGCCCGGGGGCGGGGCUUCGCGCUGCGGAGGCUGGGGACGCGGCGGUGCCGCGGCAGCGGAAGCGGGAGAGCGGCGGGGGGCACCGGGGAGACCGGCCAGCAGCGCCGAGCGGCCGCCCGAGCCGCGGCUGGAGAUUGUCAGCCUGGCCUCUGAGAUGAUGGGCGUGGGAAAUGGGCGCCGGAGCAUGAAGUCGCCGCCCCUGCUGCUGGCUGCCUUGGUGGCCUGCGUCAUUGUCCUGGGCUUCAACUAUUGGAUCGCGAGCUCCCGGAGCGUGGAUCUCCAGACGAGGAUCAUGGAGCUGGAAGGCAGGGUCCGCAGGGCGGCCGCGGAGAGAGGUGCCGUGGAGCUGAAGAAGAACGAGUUCCAGGGCGAGCUGGAAAAGCAGCGAGAGCAGCUUGACAGGAUUCAGUCCAGCCAUGACUCCCAGAUGGAGAGCGUCAACAAGUUGUACCAGGAUGAAAAGGCGGCUUUAGUGCAUAAUAUCACCACAGGCGAGAGGCUCAUCCGCACACUGCAAGACCAGUUCAAGGCCCUGCAGAAGAACUACGGAAAGCUGCAGCGGGAUGUCCUCCAGUUCCAGAAGAACCAGACCAACCUGGAGAGGAAGUUCUCCUAUGACCUGAGCCAGUGUAUCAAUCAGAUGAAGGAGCUGAAGGAGCAGUGUGAGGAGCAGAUAGAAGAGGUCACUAAGAAGGGCAACGAAGCUGUGGCUUCCAGAGACCUGAGUGAGAAGGACCAAAGCCAGCAGCUCCGAGCCCUCGGUGAGCCUCAGCCCAGGCUGCAGGAAAUUGGCCAGCCUCAGGCAGAUGUGCCACCUGCAAAAGGAGGCGUGCCCAGCAACAGUGAGCCCCAGACCCCAGCCCCCAGCUCCCAGGCAGCUUUGGAUUUGAAGAGGCGAGGUGAGAAAGAGGAAACCAACGAGAUUCAGGUCAUCAGCGAGGAGGAGCUGCGGAGGGACCGCCUGGGGCUGCCGCGGGAGCCCGGCCAGCGGCAGGCUGGGGAAGAUGACAGCCUAGUGGGCAGAAGAGGCGUGGGGGAAGCCCAGGGUGGCCAGACCCCCCAGGUGCCGGCCGCCCUGUUGGCGAUCCAGGAAAAUCAGGAGCUGGAGGAGCUGGAGCGGGAACAACUCGUCAUCCCCGACGGGCAGGAGGAGGGGCAGGGUGCUGACGAGGAAGGGAGAAAUCAGCAAAAACUAGGGGAAGAUGGUGACUACAACAUGGAUGAAAAUGAGGCCGAAUCUGAGACAGACAAGCAGGUGGCUCUCACAGCGGAUGACAGAACCUUGCCAGGGAUGGUGGAAGCCACAUGGACUUCAUGGAGUAACAGCAGCUGACCAGAGCUGCGAGUGGCUCUGAGGAGGCAGUGCUUCCGGCGGGAGCUGCGCCAACAGAGGGUUCAUGCAGCAUUUCUUAAUGCUGAAAAUCAGAAAAUAGACACAAUAAAUUUACUUGAUCAGAAUGAAAAGAGGAAUCACACACUCUGAAUCAAACUGGAAUCACAUACUUCAUGUCCGGGUGGAACAGAAAUCACUACAAAAUAUUCAAGAGGGACAAUACUGUGAACUGCACUAAGUAAAACACAACUAAAGGUGAUUUUUGUGGUUUUAGUAUGUACUCUAGGUAGGAAAAUGAGAUUGCUUUUGCAACGGUUUUUGGGGACACUUUUGAAGUGUUUGUAUCAAGAUGUCAAAAUGUGUUGGCUAGUAGGUAUUUCAUGAGACUAUCAACACAGAAACAGGACACAAGUUCAAGUACGACGACAGCAGCGAUGCUUAUUCUGGAUUAUACCUUGUUUAAAAAACGGCCUAUAGGAAGAGUUCUUCUGUCAUGACAUGAAGGGGCCCCGUGUCCUUCAGAACUCCGCUCUCUCGGCUCCCUUCCCAUGCUGUGCUCAGUGAGCGGUUCCAGCCCCUUUCUUCUGUUCCCCGUCAGCAUGGAAUGAUAACUGGUUUUAAAUGGCUCUCAUGUGUUCACUUCUGGUUCUGACCAUCAGUGGCCCAGAGCACUGGCUCUACACACGGACAUCACUAGCAACAGUUUUACACAAGUCUAUAAAGGUGUUUUGUGCGAGAAUUUUUUAAAAGACUGCUUACAUAACAACCCAUCAUUAAUGUACAAAAAUGCUUUUAAGUGACUUGUAAUUUGAACGCUUGUGAUCUAUGCUUACUUAUAUAUGAAUAUAUGUAAGGCUGAAUAUAUAUGGGCAAAACAAGAUCUGUAAUAAGUCCACAUUACUAAGAGAAGCCUCCAGUGGGUUAGACCUUUGGUAUAAAAAGGGGCAAAAGCAGAGGUAAACCCUGGCACCUAGGGCCGCACAGCACUGGGGGGGCGGGUUUACUGUGGACAGACCAUUGCUUCACCACUAGAGGAAAAGGGGAGACAGCUGAUGUUAAGGAGGUAUAUACAGUGUUACAAAUCGGUUAAGUUUAGAAAGGCAAGAGAAGUGCAGUCCUUGGUUUUAUCAUAGUCUUCACAUUUAACUUGUAGUAAACAAUUAUCAAAACUGAUUUAAAAAUCAGAAGUUAAAUGUUUAUCUGAAAAUGACUAACCAUAAUUCCACUGAUAAUAGAGACAAUUAGCUUUGAUUUGAGUUGGUUACUAUUUCAGGUAAAUAGGCUCUUGCCACUUUUGAAUGACUGGCAGUCACAGGGACUUGCGGUGAGGCUCUAUAAAGGGCAAGCGGGUGGUGAGGCAUAUUAAAAUACAUCUUACGUCACAGGAUGGGAGGUGCAGGAGUGCAGGUCACCAGGUAGAACCCUGUGCUUUCAGAGAGGACACGAGGCCCAGGCCAAAGAGAGGGCAGGCGGCCUGGAGCCCUGGCCUCACACCUGGCAUGGACUCACUGUGCCCCUGGCAGCCCCGGAAGGCAGGACCUGGUUCCCACUCAGAUUACAAUCAACUUGAAAAGUUCUUCAUGUAGGAUAUCCUUUUACCAAAUCACUAAACUUUUCACCCAGAAAAGGCAACCUAAAAAGGUAUAAAAAAGUAGCUUUAUGACAUUGAAGUCCUUGUCUAGCCUCCCUUUGUCUUAAUUCUUAGGGUUGAUUUUCUCUAUAAUUUUUCCAUUAAUGAGCAAAGCCUUUAUUCAUCUCAUGAUCAAUGUGCAUACAAUUGUGGAAAUAAAAUCCUUUUUGUGGGUUCAAUUUUUAAAA
Manis javanica (Malayan pangolin) is the source of this 3161-nucleotide RNA transcript. It is a transcript of the gene named golgi membrane protein 1, with no coding region annotated. Lineage: Eukaryota; Metazoa; Chordata; Mammalia; Pholidota; Manidae. The record is from RefSeq and is a predicted model, not a curated record.